This 465-nucleotide ribosomal RNA is filed under the name uncultured bacterium. RNAcentral's name for it is "partial 16S ribosomal RNA". It matches the Rfam family "Bacterial small subunit ribosomal RNA", at positions 28 to 507 of the family's 1533-position model. The record is from RNAcentral.
GACGAACGCUGGCGGCGUGCUUAACACAUGCAAGUCGAGCGGUAAGGCCCCUUCGGGGGUACACGAGCGGCGAACGGGUGAGUAACACGUGAGCAAUCUGCCCAUCACAUCGGGAUAACUCCGGGAAACCGAAGCUAAUACCGAAUACGACCACCUCCGGCAUCGGAUGGUGGUGGAAAGUUCCGGCGGUGAUGGAUGAGCUCGCGGCCUAUCAGCUUGUUGGUGGGGUAACGGCCCACCAAGGCUUCGACGGGUAGCCGGCCUGAGAGGGUGACCGGCCACACUGGGACUGAGACACGGCCCAGACUCCUACGGGAGGCAGCAGUGGGGAAUAUUGGACAAUGGGCGAAAACCUGAUCCAGCAACGCCGCGUGAGGGAUGACGGCCUUCGGGUUGUAAACCUCUUUCAGCAGGGACGAAGCGCAAGUGACGGUACCUGCAGAAGAAGCACCGGCCAACUACGUG